Long non-coding RNA from Paramacrobiotus metropolitanus, 1592 nucleotides. RefSeq lists it as uncharacterized. The record is from RefSeq and is a predicted model, not a curated record. Lineage: Eukaryota; Metazoa; Tardigrada; Eutardigrada; Parachela; Macrobiotidae. The transcript has 2 exons.
UCUCUAUUGUCCAGUGCACAGAUCCCGUAAGGAAUUGAGUGUCCGAGUCAUCAGUUUUGCCUAGCAAAUAAAACUGUUAAAGAAAGUUCUUGACCGAGCUGCUGCCACUGCUCAGCAAACGCAGCUGCUAGGAAAUCAGUGACCUUUCUGUUGCACAGAACCUCAGCUGAGUGAUUAGCCGUACUACCACGGUGAUAGUUCCACCUCAAUCCAUUUUCACCUCAGCCUCUUGUGGGUGAGUGACUACCAAAGACUAGUAGCGAAUUGUUGGUUGUUCUGAUUAUCUGGCAGCAAGGAUAAACCUUUCUGAAUGGAUGGCGUUAGUGAUGAAAGGUCAAUUUUAUGAGAAAAAUUCGGUAACAUAUCUUUAAUCACGAUUAAGAAAACUCGAACGCGAUAACUGCUGCUGCUUCCUUUAAUGCUAUGUAUAGCAGUAAUUCUGGGACGAAAUGCAACCACGUCAGGCGUCCAGCAUCUACGCAAUGGACUACUUUCAAUGUGGAUGUAGUGAUGACGCUGUCAUAGAAGAACAUGCCAAUAAAAAAAGCUUCAUACAAAAGAAACGAAACAGAUCCCGGAUACACAUCUGGACAUUUCGAUAGCCAAAAAAAGUGAAACACAACAAAGUGUUACAAAAAUUCUGUAACAGCCUUGGACGACACGAACCAAAGAAAAAACCACUGAACAAACUACCUUUUCCGUACCACUCGGAUUACGGCUCGGCAAUCUCCUCGAAAUCCAAGUUUUCGACCAAAUCGGAAACUGUCAGGCUUUCGUCGCUUUUGCAAAAGUUGCAAAGCCAGUUUUUAUCCAAUGGUCGCGGAUCCAUUUGUUUUUCUACGCAAGUACGAUGAAAGAGCUUGAUUACACACAUCUUGUUUGCGCACUUGAUCAUUGGUUCAGUGUGGAAGGCAUCCAAAAAUUCGGUUGGCAUCUUCGGCAUACGACAAUAGCAAUAUAUCUUGACCAUCUUGGCUUUUUCCCAGCUUGGACGAAUUGUGCAGCUGUAGGAACGAUCGGCAGCAGACGGGAAUCCGGUACCUUGGCUGAACGAUCCUGCUUCAAGCCGCUCAACGAGAUAAUUUCGGCAUUUCUCAAACGGCUGCUCACUAUCCUGCAACAGUAUCACAUAACGCAGCUAAAGUUGCUGUUAUUUGGUUAACGCCGAGAUGGUUCAUUUGACCAUCUUUGCCUUUCCAAGGUCUUCCCGGAGGGUUCAUUGCCAUGCCCACGAGUUUGAAAGGAAUCGCUUCAAACGGAUCCAGGAUACCUUCGCUGGCCACUGUCUUCACCUCGCUGGUGUUGUUUGUUGUCGCCUCUACAAUAUAUGCAAGGUACGCUAAGUGCAACAGCUGUGACUGUUAAAUUAUAAACGCUUUAAACCGCUUAUUUAACCGUCUUAGUUCGAUGGCACUGUAUUAAAAGUCAUGAGUGUUCAAUAAUUAGUAGAAACGUUUUGUCUGGUGACCUUCUGUAUGGGAGCCAGCUGGUGCCGGGCAAACACAACCGCGCCCUGAUUUUAAUUCAAGAUUAUGAACGUGGAGAAUUGAAGCCCGAAUCUGGCGCAGUUGAAAUAAACCUCUAACAUUUCA